RNAcentral lists this ribosomal RNA (484 nucleotides) under uncultured bacterium. RNAcentral's name for it is "partial 16S ribosomal RNA". It matches the Rfam family "Bacterial small subunit ribosomal RNA", at positions 30 to 507 of the family's 1533-position model. The record is from RNAcentral.
AUUGAACGCUGGCGGCAGGCCUAACACAUGCAAGUCGAGCGGAUGAAGGGAGCUUGCUCCUGGAUUCAGCGGCGGACGGGUGAGUAAUGCCUAGGAAUCUGCCUGGUAGUGGGGGAUAACGUCCGGAAACGGGCGCUAAUACCGCAUACGUCCUGAGGGAGAAAGUGGGGGAUCUUCGGACCUCACGCUAUCAGAUGAUCCUAGGUCGGAUUAGCUAGUUGGUGGGGUAAAGGCCUACCAAGGCGACGAUCCGUAGCUGGUCUGAGAGGAUGAUCAGUCACACUGGAACUGAGACACGGUCCAGACUCCUACGGGAGGCAGCAGUGGGGAAUAUUGGACAAUGGGCGAAAGCCUGAUCCAGCCAUGCCGCGUGUGUGAAGAAGGUCUUCGGAUUGUAAAGCACUUUAAGUUGGGAGGAAGGGCAGUAAGUUAAUACCUUGCUGUUUUGACGUUACCAACAGAAUAAGCACCGGCUAACUUCGUG